RNAcentral lists this ribosomal RNA (292 nucleotides) under uncultured bacterium. RNAcentral's name for it is "partial 16S ribosomal RNA". It matches the Rfam family "Bacterial small subunit ribosomal RNA", at positions 505 to 796 of the family's 1533-position model. The record is from RNAcentral.
GUGCCAGCCGCCGCGGUAAUACGUAGGGGGCAAGCGUUGUCCGGAAUCAUUGGGCGUAAAGCGCGCGUAGGCGGCUAGAUCAGUCUGCUGUGAAAGUCAAAGGCUCAACCUUUGAAUGCCGGUGGAUACUGUCUAGCUAGAGUCCGGAAGAGGCGAGUGGAAUUCCUGGUGUAGCGGUGGAAUGCGCAGAUAUCAGGAGGAACACCAACGGCGAAGGCAGCUCGCUGGGACGGUACUGACGCUAAGGCGCGAAAGCGUGGGGAGCGAACAGGAUUAGAUACCCUGGUAGUCC